AGAACGAACGCUGGCGGCAUGCCUAACACAUGCAAGUCGAACGAGACCUUCGGGUCUAGUGGCGCACGGGUGCGUAACGCGUGGGAAUCUGCCCUUAGGUACGGAAUAACAGUGAGAAAUUACUGCUAAUACCGUAUGAUGUCUUCGGACCAAAGAUUUAUCGCCUAGGGAUGAGCCCGCGUAGGAUUAGCUAGUUGGUGGGGUAAAGCCUACCAAGGCGACGAUCCUUAGCUGGUCUGAGAGGAUGAUCAGCCACACUGGGACUGAGACACGGCCCAGACUCCUACGGGAGGCAGCAGUGGGGAAUAUUGGACAAUGGGCGAAAGCCUGAUCCAGCAAUGCCGCGUGAGUGAAGAAGGCCUUCGGGUUGUAAAGCUCUUUUACCCGGGAAGAUAAUGACUGUACCGGGAGAAUAAGCCCCGGCUAACUCCGCGCCAGCAGCCGC
RNAcentral lists this ribosomal RNA (445 nucleotides) under uncultured bacterium. Its description in RNAcentral is "SSU rRNA". It matches the Rfam family "Bacterial small subunit ribosomal RNA", at positions 26 to 518 of the family's 1533-position model. The record is from RNAcentral.